GGUACCACACGACAGCUUGCUCUCUGGGUGACGAGCGGCGGACGGGUGAGUAAUGUCUGGGAAACUGCCUGAUGGAGGGGGAUAACUACUGGAAACGGUAGCUAAUACCGCAUAACGUCGCAAGACCAAAGAGGGGGACCUUCGGGCCUCUUGCCAUCAGAUGUGCCCAGAUGGGAUUAGCUAGUAGGUGGGGUAAUGGCUCACCUAGGCGACGAUCCCUAGCUGGUCUGAGAGGAUGACCAGCCACACUGGAACUGAGACACGGUCCAGACUCCUACGGGAGGCAGCAGUGGGGAAUAUUGCACAAUGGGCGCAAGCCUGAUGCAGCCAUGCCGCGUGUGUGAAGAAGGCCUUCGGGUUGUAAAGCACUUUCAGCGAGGAGGAAGGUGGUGAGCUUAAUACGCUCAUCAAUUGACGUUACUCGCAGAAGAAGCACCGGCUAACUCCGUGCCAGCAGCCGCGGUAAUACGGAGGGUGCAAGCGUUAAUCGGAAUUACUGGGCGUAAAGCGCACGCAGGCGGUUUGUUAAGUCAGAUGUGAAAUCCCCGGGCUCAACCUGGGAACUGCAUUUGAAACUGGCAAGCUAGAGUCUCGUAGAGGGGGGUAGAAUUCCAGGUGUAGCGGUGAAAUGCGUAUAGAUCUGGAGGAAUACCGGUGGCGAAGGCGGCCCCCUGGACGAAGACUGACGCUCACGUGCGAAAGCGUGGGGGAGCAAACAGGAUUAGAUACCCUGGUAGUCCACGCUGUAAACGAUGUCGAUUUGGAGGUUGUGCCCUUGAGGCGUGGCUUCCGGAGCUAACGCGUUUAAUCGACCGCCUGGGGAGUACGGCCGCAAGGUUAAAACU
RNAcentral lists this ribosomal RNA (845 nucleotides) under Serratia marcescens. RNAcentral's name for it is "bacterial SSU rRNA". It matches the Rfam family "Bacterial small subunit ribosomal RNA", at positions 68 to 901 of the family's 1533-position model. Lineage: Bacteria; Pseudomonadati; Pseudomonadota; Gammaproteobacteria; Enterobacterales; Yersiniaceae. The record is from RNAcentral.